AGUAUUUUCACUACAUGUAUUGAUCUUUUUGACUUAACAACACGAAGACAGAUCAUUAGAGGGGACAGAGAGAAAUGCAAAGUGUUCACGGAAAAGAGGUACGAGUUUUUAUUGUAUUGCACAUUUUAGACGAAAGGUACAUCAUCCCUAUUAAUGUGUUGUUAAAUUGUUUAAAUCUUGUAUAGAUGGUAGUGUUGUAUAGAUGGUAGUGUUUGCUCUGUUGGCGUGUUUGUCGAUGUUAUUUUAUGCAUCAUUUAAGCGAAGAAUACUUGUGAUGUUAUGCCACUGUUAUAAGACUAAAUCGAGUACACAUUUCGUUAAACAGGAUUUCGGUAAGCAUAUUCGAUCAGAGUCUGUUUAAAUAGUUGCGCCAUCUGUUUCGGUUACUCUGGUUCAGCUUCACCCUCCUCCUCAUUGAAUUCGCCCUCCUCUUCAGCUGUGGCGUCCUGGUACUGCUGGUACUCAGAAACAAGGUCGUUCAUGUUCGACUCUGCCUCAGUGAAUUCCAUCUCAUCCAUGCCCUCGCCAGUGUACCAGUGGAGGAAAGCCUUACGACGGAACAUAGCGGUGAACUGCUCAGAGAUGCGCUUGAACAGCUCCUGGAUGGCGGUGCUGUUGCCAAUGAAGGUGGCAGACAUCUUAAGACCACGUGGAGGGAUAUCACAAACAGCGGUCUUCACGUUGUUGGGGAUCCACUCAACGAAGUAGCUGCUGUUUUUGUUCUGCACGUUCAGCAUCUGUUCGUCGACUUCCUUCAUGGACAUGCGACCUCGGAAGAUGGCAGCGACAGUCAGGUACCUGCCGUGACGCGGGUCGCAGGCAGCCAUCAUAUUCUUUGAGUCGAACAUUUGCUGUGUGAGCUCAGGGACGGUAAGGGCCCUGUACUGCUGGCUACCACGGGAUGUGAGUGGAGCGAAC
Dreissena polymorpha is the source of this 918-nucleotide long non-coding RNA. RefSeq lists it as uncharacterized. The transcript is spliced from 2 exons. The record is from RefSeq and is a predicted model, not a curated record. Lineage: Eukaryota; Metazoa; Mollusca; Bivalvia; Myida; Dreissenidae.